RNAcentral lists this ribosomal RNA (140 nucleotides) under uncultured eukaryote. Its description in RNAcentral is "partial 18S ribosomal RNA". It matches the Rfam family "Eukaryotic small subunit ribosomal RNA", at positions 1299 to 1458 of the family's 1831-position model. The record is from RNAcentral.
UGGUGGAGUGAUUUGUCUGCUUAAUUGCGUUAACGAACGAGACCUUAACCUACUAAAUAGUCAUGCCAUACUUCGGUAUGGUAGACGACUUCUUAGAGGGACUAUCGGCGUUUAGCCGAUGGAAGCUUGAGGCAAUAACA